Gadus morhua (Atlantic cod) is the source of this 1087-nucleotide long non-coding RNA. RefSeq lists it as uncharacterized. Lineage: Eukaryota; Metazoa; Chordata; Actinopteri; Gadiformes; Gadidae. The record is from RefSeq and is a predicted model, not a curated record. The transcript is spliced from 3 exons.
UGUCUUUGGGGAACACAGCCAGGAUCCAGAGGAGUCCGACCCAGAUUGUGAAGAACCCGAUACCAAUGACCUGGUAGACGCAUUCAGCAUUUUGGAAAAGGACACUCGGCUGGAAUUUCAACUCCCCUCACACCAAAGGUGUGCGUGCCAUCUGCUGAACCUCGUGGCAACAACCGAUGCAACGAAGGCAGAAGCAAAUGACACAUACAAAAGAUUGUCUCGGUUAUCCUUCGCGAAAUGCCAGGGAUUAUGGAACAAGACGGGCCGGUCAUAUGUGGCCGCAGAAUUUGUUCAAGAUCAGUGCCAGCUUCAGCUGAUAAGACCUAAUCAUCCCGGUGGAACUCCACUUACAUGGCCAUUGAGCGACUGCUGCGGAUCAUAGAUGACAAGGGGGAGGUGGCGAUCCGAAAUGUCUGCGAAGAAUUCAGACUCAAAAUGUUGAGUCCUGCAGAAAUCACUUUUCUCAGAGAAUCGCGAGGUGAUGAAACCUUUGGUAAAGGCGUUGAACAUCUUGCAGUCAGAGACUAACACGCACAUGGGUGGCUCCUUCCAGUGAUUUCACAGCUGUUCAAGAGCAACUGGACUGACAGAGCCGAUGUCAUUGAAGCAGGCCUGACCUAUGUGAGGCAGCACCUUGACAGGAUGGCAGAGGUGGAAGAGGUCGUUGGGCAAACUUCAUCUGAUGAUGAGGAGGACUUCUUCACAUCCAUGAAGGUCAGAAGAUCACAAGGCACGGGGGAGCUGGAUGGGUAUCUUGCCUGUGCAUCAAGUAAGAUGGAUCUCCUCCAGUCAUUUCCACACAUCAAGAAACUCGCCCUCAAACUCAACACAGGUCUGCCUGCGUCAGCUGCCUGUGAAAGGCUUUUCAGCUGUGCCGGCCUGCUUUUCACCCCGAAGCGCGCUAGGAUGAAUGCAGUGAACUUUGAGAACCAACUCCUGCUCAAACUGAACAGGAAGUUUAGAGAUUAAUUCAUAGUCCAUCUAGCGUCUCUCUCUCUCACACACACACACACACACACACACACAGAGCUCCCUCUCUCUCUCUCUCUCUCUCACACACACACAUACACAUAGAGCUCCCUCUCUC